GGAGCCCAGGCUGUUGCUUCCCAGUCUGAUGGUGAAUCCUCCAUGGUCUGGUGAGUGAAGUGUCUGACUCUGGAGCCCAGGCUGUUGCUUCUGACUCUGGAGCCCAGACUGUUGCUUCCCAGUCUGGUGGUGAAUCCUCCAUAAUCUGGUGAGUGUAAAUAUAUAUAUAUAUUCCCUUCUUCCCUUCCCAUUGCAAUUUGCUUAUUGUAUCAAUCUGUUUAUUAUAUCAUUUGCUUAUUAUUAUAUCAUUUGCUUAUUAUAUCUGCCUUGCCAUUUACAUGGGAUAAAGUUUGUUUACCCUUAAAAGUAUUGUGUGUGUGUCUUUUUUCUCCCCUCAUGCAUUUCCUGCACAGAACAAUAUGGAAGUGACUGGAACUGGGUAACAGGCAGAGGUUGGAUUCCAAAUUUUGAAGGACUCAGAAGAAGACAGGAAAAUGUGGGAAAGUUUGAAACUCCCUAGAGACUUGUUGAAUUUCUUUGAUCAAAAUGCUGCUAAUUAUAUGGACAAUGAAAUCCAGACUGAGGUGGUCUCAGAUGGAGAUGAGGAGCUUGUUGGAAACUGGAGCAAAGGUGACUCUUGUUAUGUUUUAGCAAAGAGACUGGCAGCAUUUUCCCAUGCCCUAGAGAUUUGUGGAACUUUGAAUUUGAGAGAGAUUAUUUAGGGUAUCUGGUGGAAGAAAUUUCUAAGCAGCAAAGCAUUCAAGAUAUGACUUGGGUGCUUUUAAAGGCAUUCAGUUUUAAAAGGGAAACAGAGCAUAAAAGUUAGAAAAAUUUGCAGCCUAUCAAUGUGAUAGAAAAGAAAAUUCCCUUUUCUGAGGAGAAAUUCAAGCUGGCUGCAGAAAUUUGCAUAAGUAAGAGUAAGUCAAAUGUUAAUCACCAAGACAAUGGGGAAAAUUCUUCUAGGGUGUUUCAGAGACCUUUGUGGCAGCCCUUGCCAUCACAGGCCUGAAGGGCUAGGAGGAAAAAAUAGUUUUGUGGGCCAGGCCCUGGGUCCCUCUGCUGUGUGCAUCCUGGGGACUUGGUGCCCUGUGCCCCAACCACUCCAGCUGUGACUAAAAGGGGCCAAAGUACAGCUCGGGCUAUUGCUUCAGAGGGUGGAAGCCCCAAGCCCUGAGAGCUUCCAUGUGGUGUUGAGCCUGCAAGUGCACAGAAGUCAAGAAUUGAGGUUUGGGGCCAGGCAUGGUGGCUCACACCUGUAAUCCCAACACUUUGGAAGGCUAAGGUGGGCAGAUCACUUGAGGUCAGGAGUUCAAGACCAACCUGGCCAACAUGGAGAAACCCUGUUUCUACUAAAACUAUAAAAAUUAGCUGGACGUGGUGGUGCACGCUUGUAAUCCCAGCUACUCAGGAGGCUGAGGUUGGAGAAUCACUUGAACCCAGAAGGUGGAGGUUGCAAUGAGCCAAGAUAAUGUCACUGCACUCCAGGCUGGGUGACAGAGCAAGACACUAUCUAAAAAAAAAAAAAAA
RNAcentral lists this long non-coding RNA (1467 nucleotides) under Macaca fascicularis (crab-eating macaque). RNAcentral describes it as "lncRNA (ENSMFAG00000061235.1)". The record is from RNAcentral. Lineage: Eukaryota; Metazoa; Chordata; Mammalia; Primates; Cercopithecidae.